UGGAGGAGAGUGGAUGGUACUCUGAGUUGGCUGAUGGGACUCCACCAGGACAAGACCCUGAGACAGACUGUUUGAUUUGUCCGGAAGGCUGAGUCACCAAAGGCCCACCACAAACAAAGAGUGCAGAGAGAUAAUUACAUUCAGAAUGGGUUUAGUAUUUCAACCUGGUAUGCAGCAGCAUUUAUGGGUUGAUAAUCUGCAACAUGAAAAUAAUGGAUGGGAAUAAGAUGUCAUUGCCUUACUUGGACUGUUGGGGAAAAGUUUAAAUCUUCACUGACACUUUGGUCCUUUCAUUUCUGCUAUUCUGACCUGGGAAUAUAUGUGGAAUAUCUUGAACCUGCUUUUGAGUGUCUGUUUACCCAGUCUUUCUUUGAACUGCUGAUGGUAAUGAAUUUCCUUCUUCCAACCCCAACUGCUGCAUUCAGUUAUCAUCAAGCACAGACAUCAACUAGAACUCUAAUCUUGCUCUGAUGGAUGGAAUACUAACCUUUCACAAGAUUAGAGACACAAGGUGCUCUGGAGAUAAUAAAAUUCAAAUAGGUUUAUUUCAAA
Chelonia mydas (Green sea turtle) is the source of this 552-nucleotide long non-coding RNA. RefSeq lists it as uncharacterized. The record is from RefSeq and is a predicted model, not a curated record. NCBI's taxonomy places the organism in Eukaryota, Metazoa, Chordata, Testudines, Cheloniidae. The transcript has 3 exons.